CCUACGGGAGGCAGCAGUGAGGAAUAUUGGUCAAUGGUCGGGAGACUGAACCAGCCAAGCCGCGUGAGGGAUGAAGGUACAGAGUAUCGUAAACCUCUUUUGUCAGGGAACAAAGGCGGGGACGUGUCCCCGGAUGAGUGUACCUGAAGAAAAAGCAUCGGCUAACUCCGUGCCAGCAGCCGCGGUAAUACGGAGGAUGCGAGCGUUAUCCGGAUUUAUGGGGUUGAAGGGGUGCGCAGGCGGUCUGUAAAGUCAGCGGUCAAAGCCCGGGGCUCAACCCCGGCCCGCCGUUGAAACUGGCAGUCUCGAGUUGGAGAGAAGUAUGCGGAAUGCGCGGUGUAGUGGUGAAAUGCAUAGAUAUCGCGCAGAACUCCGAUUGCGAAGGCAGCAUGCCGGCUCCACACUGACGCUGAGGCACGAAAGCGUGGGUAUCGAACAGGAUUAGAUACCCUUGUAGUC
Molecule: ribosomal RNA, 459 nt
Filed under: uncultured bacterium
Lineage: Bacteria
Description: partial 16S ribosomal RNA
Rfam family: Bacterial small subunit ribosomal RNA
Source: RNAcentral